UCCUCAUUACUAAUAAAGUUAUUGUGAAAAAAUUAACUCUAUUAUUGUUAAUAUCUAAUUAAUCUUUAAAAUUUUUACUUCCAUAUAUUGCUUUAGCAUUUUCAUCGUGUGAAGAGGUUAUAUUCAGAACCCGUCAAUCAAAAAACCAAUCAGUCGUGCGUUAGCUUCGGGAGUGUUAGUACAUUUUUCAUAUCCGCGAGUGUUUAUUAUUAAGAAUACUAUUCUCUUUCCUCAUUAACUUUGUUUUUUACUAUUAUUGAAAAUAAAAUUAAUUUUAAAAUCUCGCGAGUGCUCGUUAUAAUACUUAAAACCGCGAUCGUUUUUGUAAUAUAAAAAUAUGUUCCCUUUAUAUUUUACGUGAAUUAGGAGUGUUCGUAAAAAAUUUUUAAAACCGCGUGUAUUUUUUUGUGCUUGGAAGAUUUUUAUCGCCAUCGUAGAGUGCUGCUGAAAAAAUUAAUAUCAUUCAACAAAUAGAGUGAAAUAAAAAAAAGAUGCAACAACCCACACAAUACGUGAGUGAGAAUCGUUCGGAUGGAAGAAUCCAUGGUGACUGGUGUAACCUACAUCGUUCUGAUCGAUUCAAUCCUGCAAUCUUAUCUUUGAAGGAUACAAAAUUCACAGACUUUUUAGAACUCGGUCUAUUUUUACGGUUAUUUUUCACAUUUUCUGAAUGGAAAUUUAACUUGAAAGUAUAGGGAUCUCCGAGGGCUAUUUAGUUUGAAAGAAUAUCUCCUUGAAGCUCAAAAAUUCAUUAUUAAGUUGAUCCGGUGAAAAAUAAAUGAGAUAUACAGAACACUGCAGCGGCGCGUCCCGUGGCUUUAUACAAGGUGGCCAGCCAUACCUGACCCUAACGACACAUGGCCUUUUCCUAUGAUUUAGAAACGGCAACCACUGCGGAAGAGUUAUUAUAUGGUCCAGGAAUCGAUGACUCUUUGUAACUUGGAAACAAAAUUUCUCCUGAACAAAAAAAAGUAAGUUGAAACUUUGAAUGCGUUUUUCUCAAAAUGACAUUUUCCAAGUCGGUGACCACGAUUACUCGAAUACCAUUAAACCGAUUUAUUUAAAAUUUAGUGUGCUUCAUUUACACAUAUAAGUCUAGUUCGUGAUCGAAGGAUUUUUUUUUUUAUGCAAAACUUUUUUUUAUAUAGCUGAAAAUCGACCGUAUUUUUUUAACGAAAAUCAUACUUUUGACUUUGACAGGUCGCCAAUUUGUCAAAUUUUUUUUUUUUUUUAAAUCCUUCGAUCACGAACUAGAUAAUCUUAUAAUAAAUGUAAAUCAAUUUCAUUUUUGUAUUUCAGACGAAGUAUACUUGCAGAAUGCUGGUCACCGCAAUUCGCCUUUUUUCUUAAGGCGCCACUUCAAUGGCUCAUAUCUCCAAAAGUUUUUGUUAAAAAAAUUUUUUUUUUCUUUUAAAUUACAGCUUUUUACAUGUACUUUUAACUAAUAAAUAGUAUUCUUUAAAAAGA
Molecule: long non-coding RNA, 1467 nt
Organism: Leptopilina boulardi
Lineage: Eukaryota; Metazoa; Arthropoda; Insecta; Hymenoptera; Figitidae
Exons: 4
Source: RefSeq, a predicted model, not a curated record